UCUCCGUUGGUGAACCAGCGGAGGGAUCAUUACCGAGUUUACAACUCCCAAACCCAAUGUGAACGUUACCAAACUGUUGCCUCGGCGGGGUCACGCUCCGGGUGCGUCGCAGCCCCGGAACCAGGCGCCCGCCGGAGGAACCAACCAAACUCUUUCUGUAGUCCCCUCGCGGACGUUAUUUCUUACGUCUCUGAGCAAAAAUUCAAAAUGAAUCAAAACUUUCAACAACGGAUCUCUUGGUUCUG
RNAcentral lists this unclassified non-coding RNA (245 nucleotides) under plant metagenome. Its description in RNAcentral is "partial contains small subunit ribosomal RNA, internal transcribed spacer 1, and 5.8S ribosomal RNA". The record is from RNAcentral.